AUUGAACGCUGGCGGCAGGCCUAACACAUGCAAGUCGAGCGAGCGGCGGACGGGCGAGUAAUGUAUGGGGACUGCCUGACCGAGGGGGAUAACUACUGGAAACGGUAGCUAAUUCCGCAUACUAUCGGAUAACCCAUAUGGGAUUAGCUAGUAGGUUAGGUAAUGGCUCACCUAGGCGACGAUCCCUAGCUGGUCUGAGAGGAUGAUCAGCCACACUGGGACUGAGACACGGCCCAGACUCCUACGGAGGCAGGAGUGGGGAAUAUUGCACAAUGGGCGAAAGCCUGAUGCAGCCAUGCCGCGUGUAUGAAGAAGGCCCUAGGGUUGUAAAGUACUUUCAGUGGGGAGGCGUUACCGACAGAAGAAGCACCGGCUAACUCCGUGCCAGCAGCCGCGGUAAUUC
RNAcentral lists this ribosomal RNA (403 nucleotides) under uncultured bacterium. RNAcentral's name for it is "partial 16S ribosomal RNA". It matches the Rfam family "Bacterial small subunit ribosomal RNA", at positions 30 to 526 of the family's 1533-position model. The record is from RNAcentral.